Molecule: ribosomal RNA, 103 nt
Filed under: uncultured bacterium
Lineage: Bacteria
Description: partial 16S ribosomal RNA
Rfam family: Bacterial small subunit ribosomal RNA
Source: RNAcentral
CUUGUACACACCGCCCGUCACACCAUGGGAGUGGGUUCCACCAGAAGUAGGUAGCCUAACCGCAAGGGGGGCGCUUACCACGGUGAGAUUCAUGACUGGGGUG